This 1392-nucleotide long non-coding RNA is filed under the name Homo sapiens (human). RNAcentral's name for it is "HSALNT0382455". Lineage: Eukaryota; Metazoa; Chordata; Mammalia; Primates; Hominidae. The record is from RNAcentral.
AGGAGAGGCCCUGCAGGCACCUGGCUACCUGGGCCUGAAGAGGAGCAGGGGAGAUGAGUUUUGUGGGAGUUGACAGCGGCCAGGUGCGGUGGCUCAAUUUCCUGACCUGCUCCAUGGAAGGUGACCUAAUGGUGGUGACUGCGGGAGGAGCAGCAGCAAUAGCAGGAGUGGUACUCAAGUUCUGGAUGGCUAUCAUAAUGGAAAUAAAUCUUAGUCCACACACUCUUCAUUAACCUGACAAGAACUUAGGACUGCAGGACAAGAACUCGAGACCCACACAAUGCACCACCAGGCUCGACCCAGCACAGCUCAUCCACCCACCCCAAUGACAGAAUGCAGCCAGAACUGUGGUCAAUAUGGAGUGGCACCUUUGAGAGAGGGCCUCUGAGCAAGUUCCUGUGCCUGUUUCUUUCAACGAGGAUAACUACUUCCACCUGCCUUUGUAAUUUGUUCCUGGGACAAAGAAAGCCUCUUGAGGAGGCUGGCCUGCCCUGCAUAUGUUGGAUAAACGCUUGAAAUAUGGACCUGUCCCCAUCUCUCGCCUUUCCCCGGAAUUCAGGACUGAAUGGAUGCUGCCUGCAUUUUGGGGAGUGGGAGUUUUGCUUUUCCUUUGCUUUGCUACUUACUCACUCUGAUGAACAAGGAGGAGACUGACAGCUUCACAGUCCUGGAUCAUUUCCUGCCCUGUUCUCCCAUCCAGCUCAUGGAAGUCAGCAACUCCAUCCACUCAUUGCACAGAGACCAGAAAGGGGAAGGGAUUUUCUCACUGUCUCACAGCAACUAAUGGCCAAGCUGUGGUGGGCGUCUUGGUGGUCUGAUUCCAAUUCAAGUUGGAGUGAGAGAGUGAGAAGAUUAUGGGCUGUGGCCUCAAGCCAACCAGGGUCUAAACCCAGCAUUGCCUCUGGCUUACUUGUGUCUCCUCUGCUUCCUCAUUCUUAGAAUGGAAAUCAUCAUCAUCAUCUCAUAGAAGUGUUAUGGGCAACAGACAGGAUAAUGUACAUGAAGCUCAUACAGCCUUAGGAUUAAAACCAGUGAAGACCCAAACGACUGUACCUGGGAAUUUAAGAUAAACAGGGUGUGUUACUGCCUGGCACAAACUGGGAAUUUGUGCAAAGGUAAGAUACCAAGCAGGACAGUAUUUCUCCUUGAGGGACCGUGAAAUCUUCUCAUCAUUUAAGCUUAUGAAACGAGGUGGAGCCUCAUUUCUUAAAGGGGGAAAUGCAAAUCAAAACUACCUGGGUAUCAUAUGAAAUUAUACCUUGAUAAAGCUGAUUUUUAAAACAUUACCCUGAGAAUUGUAAAGAUCAACAGUCCUGAUAACAAGCCAGGCAUCGUGGCUCAUGCCUGUAGUUCCAACUACUUGAGAGGCUGAGGUGGGAGGAUUGCUGGAGC